Molecule: ribosomal RNA, 460 nt
Filed under: uncultured bacterium
Lineage: Bacteria
Description: partial 16S ribosomal RNA
Rfam family: Bacterial small subunit ribosomal RNA
Source: RNAcentral
CCUACGGGAGGCAGCAGUGAGGAAUAUUGGUCAAUGGGCGAGAGCCUGAUCCAGCCAAGUCGCGUGUAGGAUGACGGCCCUACGGGUUGUAAACUUCUUUUGUCAGGGAGCAAUUGGGUCCACGCGUGGGCUUAGCGAGAGUACCUGAAGAAAAAGCAUCGGCUAACUCCGUGCCAGCAGCCGCGGUAAUACGGGGGAUGCGAGCGUUAUCCGGAUUUAUUGGGUUAAAAGGGUGCGUAGGCGGAAUAUCAAGUCAGCGGUAAAAAUUCGGGGCUCAACCCCGUCGUGCCGUUGAAACUGAUGUUCUUGAGGGGGCGAGAGGUAUGCGGAAUGCGUGGUGUAGCGGUGAAAUGCAUAGAUAUCACGCAGAACUCCGAUUGCGAAGGCAGCAUACCGGCGCCCAACUGACGCUGAAGCGCGAAAGCGUGGGGAUCGAACAGGAUUAGAUACCCGAGUAGUC